RNAcentral lists this ribosomal RNA (460 nucleotides) under uncultured bacterium. RNAcentral describes it as "partial 16S ribosomal RNA". It matches the Rfam family "Bacterial small subunit ribosomal RNA", at positions 338 to 795 of the family's 1533-position model. The record is from RNAcentral.
CCUACGGGUGGCAGCAGUGAGGAAUAUUGGUCAAUGGGCGCGAGCCUGAACCAGCCAAGUAGCGUGAAGGAUGACUGCCCUACGGGUUGUAAACUUCUUUUAUAAAGGAAUAAAGUGAGGCACGUGUGCCUUUUUGUAUGUGCUUUAUGAAUAAGUAUCGGCUAACUCCGUGCCAGCAGCCUCGGUAAUACGUAGGAUCCGAGCGUUAUCCGGAUUGAUUGGGUUUAAAGGGAGCGUAGAUGGUUUUUUACGUCAGUUGUGAAAGUUUGCGGCUCAACCGUAAAAUUGCAAUUGAUACUGGCAGUCUUGAGUACAGUUGAGGUAGGCGGAAUUCGUGGUGUAGCGGUGAAAUGCUUAGAUAUCACGAAGAACUCCGAUUGCGAAGGCAGCUUACUAAACUGCCACUGACAUUGAUGCUCGAAAGUGUGGGUAUCAAACAGGAUUAGAUACCCCUGUAGUC